Acanthosepion pharaonis is the source of this 109-nucleotide non-coding RNA. The record is from the annotation of a GenBank genome assembly. Lineage: Eukaryota; Metazoa; Mollusca; Cephalopoda; Sepiida; Sepiidae.
UUACGGCCAUAUCACGUUGAAACACCGGUUCUCGUACGAUGACCGGAGUUAAGCAACAUCGAAAUUGGCCAGUACCUGGAGGAGAGACUCCUUGGGAAUACCAGGUGCU